This is a non-coding RNA of Parasteatoda tepidariorum (common house spider), 1518 nucleotides long. The record is from RefSeq and is a predicted model, not a curated record. NCBI's taxonomy places the organism in Eukaryota, Metazoa, Arthropoda, Arachnida, Araneae, Theridiidae.
UUCAACUUCAAUUUAAUUUAAAAAAACAUUUUACGUAUUUUUCAGCAUGUUUCUUUAUUAUUUUAUUUGUCUAAUAAUAAUUUUAAAACCACCUAGUAUUAAUAGCUAACUGACGUAGAAUUCCUAAAGAUGAGAUAAAACGAAAAGCAUGGGUAGUAGAUGUUCACAGAGAAGAAUUCAUAGCAUCCAAUAAUAGUGUGUUAUGCCUUAACCCAUUUUACUACGGAUUCAUUUGAUAGACAAAGAUUCUUAUCUCUUAUGAGCUUUUGACAAAAAUAAUUAAUACAUAUAAUCAUUUGCAAUUGUUUCUUUAUAUUUUACAUACUUUAAAAUGUAUCUUCGAUUAAAAAAAUCAUUAUUUUUAUUUUAUUGUUUGGUAAAAUCAUGCUUAACUAAUAUGUUAUUAGCUAUUUAUGAUUGAGCAAUUAAAAGCAAAUAAUUAAAUGUAGCGCACAUAUUGUAAUGUAUUUUUAUUAGAAAACUUAUUUCUUACAAUCACGAAUAAAAUUGGGAAAGCAUUCAAAAUGAAAUUUAAAAAAAGAGAGAGGAAUCGUUAGGUACUCUUUAAAAUAUUCCCGUACGAUGCGACCGCCAGCUAUGAAUUUUUCGCCAAAAAGGUAACCCCCAUCUUUGAACAAGUUUUCCGAGCCCAAACAAUAGACUGACUCUCUCUACCUUAAUAUCUCCUCUAAGGGUUUUAAUUUUUUCAGUUUGAAAUUUAAAUUACUGGGGGGGAGGGAUGAAGCACCAUAUCGGGAGCUUCCGACAUCCUAUAAGAUCAUCAAUGAUUUGAGUUAGGCUCUGACACGCGUGCUUUGGAUACAGAGAUUAGUCUCCGGCUAAUGCCCUAUAGUAAUGUGUUAAAUAAUAUUGCUUCUUCGCUUUAUAUAAGUUUAUAAUGCUGAUAAUAAGCACCUCUGAGAUUUUAUAAUGCUAUCAUAUUCUCUCUAUGUGAUGUUGGUGUAUAAAAAUUGUCAGCUAAUUUCCAGGAAAACGACUUUAAUUUUGUUCGCGAAGCAAACAAAAAUGUAAUUGCGUAGCAAUUAUCAGGGGUUGGUGAGCAUGGGGCGGAGCCCUCUAGUGUAUAUUCUGGUUGAAAUUAAGCAUUCAAAAUUUAAAAAAUUACUUUACAAGAAAACGGUAAAAAUUUAAUUUAUAAUCAAUACGAAUGAUACCAUUUCAAGUAAUUCGUAUGAUUGUUUUUCUUUGUAUUAUAUAGACACAGAAAUAUUAUAAAGAAAAAGAAUAUUCUAUAACUAUCACAGUUUCUGAAAUAACACUUAUUCAUUGGUAUAAAGUAGCCAAUGCAUGAAUAAAUAACUGCUAAAAAAAAGCUUCAAUACGUUAAUCAAUGUUCAUUCCGUUGCAGGAUGAUCAGAUUGAAGAGUCAGUUGAGAGGAGAUCGCCUAUAAUCAUCAGGCUGGAAGCAGUAAGACAAGACAGUCCACCCUCUGAAAUUAAUGAAGAUGAUGGAUUGGGAGAACACAAUCCUCCAGAUGAAGAAGUUUUGGAUGAGGC